CCUACGGGGGGCAGCAGUGAGGAAUAUUGGUCAUUGGACGGAAGUCUGAACCAGCCAUGCCGCGUGCAGGAAGACGGCUCUAUGAGUUGUAAACUGCUUUUGUACGGGGGUAAAACGCGAUACGUGUAGCGGUUUGAAAGUAUCGUACGAAUAAGGAUCGGCUAACUCCGUGCCAGCAGCCGCGGUAAUACGGAGGAUCCAAGCGUUAUCCGGAUUUAUUGGGUUUAAGGGGUGCGUAGGCGGUUUCAUAAGUUAGAGGUGAAAUACCGAGGCUCAACAUCGGCACUGCCGCUGAUACUGUAGGACUAGAGAUCAGAUGCGGCAGGCGGAAUGUAUAGUGUAGCGGUGAAAUGCAUAGAGAUUAGACAGAACACCGAUUGCGAAGGCAGCUUGCCAGACUGCAACUGACGUUGAGGCACGAAAGCGUGGGGAGCAAACAGGAUUAGAUACCCGGGUAGUC
Molecule: ribosomal RNA, 460 nt
Filed under: uncultured bacterium
Lineage: Bacteria
Description: partial 16S ribosomal RNA
Rfam family: Bacterial small subunit ribosomal RNA
Source: RNAcentral